AGAGUUUGAUCAUGGCUCAGGACGAACGCUGGCGGCAUGCCUAACACAUGCAAGUCGAACGGAGGCAGAAACGCCUUAGUGGCGAACGGGUGAGUAACACGUGAGUAACCUGCCCUGUACACCGGGAUAACACCUGGAAACGGGUGCUAAUACCGGAUAAGACCACACUGGGACAUCCCAGAGGGGUCAAAGCGAAUUAGCGGUACGGGAUGGGCUCGCGUCCAAUUAGCUAGUUGGUGAGGUAACGGCCCACCAAGGCGACGAUUGGUAGCCGAAUUGAGAGAUUGAUCGGCCACAUUGGAACUGAGAUACGGUCCAAACUCCUACGGGAGGCAGCAGUGGGGAAUAUUGGGCAAUGGAGGAAACUCUUACCCAGCAAUGCCGCGUGAGUGAAGAAGGUCUUCGGAUUGUAAAGCUCUUUGAUUGGGGACGAACAAAUGACGGUACCCAAGGAACAAGCCCCGGCUAACUAUGUGCCAGCAGCCGCGGUAAUACAUAGGGGGCGAGCGUUGUCCGGAAUGACUGGGCGUAAAGGGUGUGUAGGCGGUUUGGCAAGUUGGAAGUGUAAUACCUAGGGCUUAACUCAGGUGCUGCUUCCAAAACUAUCAGACUUGAGUGUCGGAGAGGAAAAUGGAAUUCCUAGUGUAGCGGUGGAAUGCGUAGAUAUUAGGAGGAACACCGGAGGCGAAAGCGAUUUUCUGGACGACAACUGACGCUGAGGCACGAAAGCGUGGGGAGCAAACAGGAUUAGAUACCCUAGUAGUCC
RNAcentral lists this ribosomal RNA (766 nucleotides) under uncultured bacterium. Its description in RNAcentral is "bacterial SSU rRNA". It matches the Rfam family "Bacterial small subunit ribosomal RNA", at positions 8 to 796 of the family's 1533-position model. The record is from RNAcentral.